This 441-nucleotide ribosomal RNA is filed under the name uncultured bacterium. RNAcentral describes it as "bacterial SSU rRNA". It matches the Rfam family "Bacterial small subunit ribosomal RNA", at positions 28 to 451 of the family's 1533-position model. The record is from RNAcentral.
GAUGAACGCUGGCGGCGUGCUUAACACAUGCAAGUCGAGCGAAGCACCUUGACGGAUUUCUUCGGAUUGAAGCCUUGGUGACUGAGCGGCGGACGGGUGAGUAACGCGUGGGUAACCUGCCUCAUACAGGGGGAUAACAGUUGGAAACGGCUGCUAAUACCGCAUAAGCGCACAGUACCGCAUGGUACGGUGUGAAAAACUCCGGUGGUAUGAGAUGGACCCGCGUCUGAUUAGGUAGUUGGUGGGGUAACGGCCUACCAAGCCGACGAUCAGUAGCCGACCUGAGAGGGUGACCGGCCACAUUGGGACUGAGACACGGCCCAAACUCCUACGGGAGGCAGCAGUGGGGAAUAUUGCACAAUGGGGGAAACCCUGAUGCAGCGACGCCGCGUGAGCGAUGAAGUAUUUCGGUAUGUAAAGCUCUAUCAGCAGGGAGGAAAA